GACGAACGCUGGCGGCGUGCCUAAUACAUGCAAGUUGAGCGCUGAAGGUUGGUACUUGUACCAACUGGAUGAGCAGCGAACGGGUGAGUAACGCGUGGGGAAUCUGCCUUUGAGCGGGGGACAACAUUUGGAAACGAAUGCUAAUACCGCAUAAAAACUUUAAACACAAGUUUUAAGUUUGAAAGAUGCAAUUGCAUCACUCAAAGAUGAUCCCGCGUUGUAUUAGCUAGUUGGUGAGGUAAGGGCUCACCAAGGCGAUGAUACAUAGCCGACCUGAGAGGGUGAUCGGCCACAUUGGGACUGAGACACGGCCCAAACUCCUACGGGAGGCAGCAGUAGGGAAUCUUCGGCAAUGGACGAAAGUCUGACCGAGCAACGCCGCGUGAGUGAAGAAGGUUUUCGGAUCGUAAAACUCUGUUGGUAGAGAAGAACGUUGGUGAGAGUGGAAAGCUCAUCAAGUGACGGUAACUACCCAGAAAGGGACGGCUAACUACGUG
RNAcentral lists this ribosomal RNA (497 nucleotides) under uncultured bacterium. RNAcentral describes it as "partial 16S ribosomal RNA". It matches the Rfam family "Bacterial small subunit ribosomal RNA", at positions 28 to 507 of the family's 1533-position model. The record is from RNAcentral.